AUCUUUCGAAGAAGUCCGAGAAUCUCGCAACGCGCAUCGGCAGUUUCUCGUAGGGCGGAUA
Molecule: small RNA, 61 nt
Filed under: Sinorhizobium meliloti 2011
Lineage: Bacteria; Pseudomonadati; Pseudomonadota; Alphaproteobacteria; Hyphomicrobiales; Rhizobiaceae
Description: putative ncRNA
Source: RNAcentral